AGCGAACGCUGGCGGCAGGCUUAACACAUGCAAGUCGAACGCCCCGCAAGGGGAGUGGCAGACGGGUGAGUAACACGUGGGAACGUACCCUUUGGUUCGGAAUAACUUGGGGAAACUCAAGCUAAUACCGGAUAAGCCCUUAUGGGGAAAGGUUUACUGCCGAAGGAUCGGCCCGCGUCUGAUUAGCUAGUUGGUGAGGUAAUGGCUCACCAAGGCGACGAUCAGUAGCUGGUCUGAGAGGAGGAUCAGCCACACUGGGACUGAGACACGGCCCAGACUCCUACGGGAGGCAGCAGUGGUGAAUAUUGGACAAUGGGGGCAACCCUGAUCCAGCCAUGCCGCGUGAGUGAUGAAGGCCUUAGGGUUGUAAAGCUCUUUUACCCGGGACGAUAAUGACUGUACCGGGAGAAUAAGCCCCGGCUAACUUCGUGCCAGCCGCCGCAGUAA
RNAcentral lists this ribosomal RNA (447 nucleotides) under uncultured bacterium. RNAcentral describes it as "partial 16S ribosomal RNA". It matches the Rfam family "Bacterial small subunit ribosomal RNA", at positions 29 to 523 of the family's 1533-position model. The record is from RNAcentral.